This is a long non-coding RNA of Cloeon dipterum, 1384 nucleotides long. RefSeq lists it as uncharacterized. Lineage: Eukaryota; Metazoa; Arthropoda; Insecta; Ephemeroptera; Baetidae. The transcript is spliced from 6 exons. The record is from RefSeq and is a predicted model, not a curated record.
GCAUGACGCCCGGCGGCCCAGCAGGGUUUUCUCCUCCCGGCUCGAGGGACCUCUCCGACCUGAGCCUCGACUGCAGCCUCGCUUUUUCCCGUAGCCGGGCAGCCCGAGCAUUAGUCCAUUCAUUCUGUCGCCGGUGUGCGCGUAGCACAAUUACAGCCUUUGAAGCCCAGCGUACGCGCCAUGAACGCCCAACUACAUAACUACUCGCCUACCACCUCAGUCAGCUACCUGACCAGCCCAUCCUACUCGCCCACGUCGCCAUCUUUACUCGUUGUCGCCCAAGCUACCCUCUGUCCUCCCCUUGCUACUUGCCAACCCCUGCGUCACACAGCCAGAGGUCGUCGCCGUACUGAUCCUCUCCAGCGUCAUCGCCGUGGUAUACAAGUUGUUUUAAAGACGGUUUAAAUCCACAACAGCAGUGACAGUCCGUACAACUGGAUUUCUCCGGGCGACGCGAAAGCUAUGGUUGAGCACGGUGAAAAUAAUACGGCAACAUUCAGACGGUGGUGAACAACUGGUUGCUGCUUGAUAGCCACUCGACCAGCUUCAGCGACAAGAUUGCCGAUCCGCAGACCUACACGGAGAUCAAGAAGGCCAUCAAGCCCUUUGAGUAACUGGUCAACCGCAUUUUGAUAGACGCUCGUGACAAAGGCUGCGGUAGCUCGGUGAAAAAGUCGCUUAUAAAGUACAACAACCUCAAGGCUAUAAUCAUCGCUGGCUCGCAGGUGGUGUGCAACCUCAUCAUCAUGGCCGGUGAGGAUUGGCUGAGCAAAUAGGCUAAUGAGAACGCCAUGCUACUCAGCGCCGAUGCCUUCGACUUGUUGCUCGUCUUCAAAGAUUCCAACAGGCUCCUGGCGAGGUGGUGAGCGCCCUGGCGGCGCAGUACAUCGACGAACCUGCCACUCAGAUGACGCUAAACACUUUCCUCUUUGCUUGUUUGUCGUUGACGAACUUGACACUCUGUGUGCCUAUGCUGAAGGGAAUCAACAACAUCAGCAAGAAGCCCGAUUCUGUCUUUCGCCGUCUUUAGCGGCAUGACGCCGAGCGGCCAAGGGUUGUCUCCUUCGGGCUAGAGUGACGCCUCCGGCCCGAGCCCUGGCUUACAGCUCUGCGUGGUCGCUGCAGCCAGGCUCCAGUCUCCGUCCCCGUGGGGCCCAGCUUACGCGCUGUGGACGCCCAAGUAACUGUCCACCAGCCCCUGCUUCCUGACCAGCCAGUCUAACUCCGUGUUGCCAUACUACUCCUCGCUACUACUCCUCCUAGCUACUCAGCAGCGACGCCAUGGUUCUCAUCCACCUACCCCUUUUUACACGCCUCUUCUCCUGCGUUCAACCCAUUGAUUUUCAAGCUGAAAAGACGUUCCUCAACCCCAAUAACAGCUUCU